AUGCUACUCUUCUUUGUUUUCAUGGUUGUUAAAACCUUUGGUGCUGUUGACAGCAGCAUUAAAUCAGACCAAACCAUUAUAUCUUCAACGGAGGGCAGCAAAACCACACUGACCUGCGCAUAUGAUGACUCGGCUGACUAUCUCCACUGGUAUCGACAAAAGCCUCAAUCAGGACCAGAGUUUCUGUUGCUGAUUAUUGUAUCAACAAAUGAUGUCACUAAAGCUAAACAACCUGACCCAAGACUGUCUAUCAGACUUCGUAAAAAGGAAAAGAAAGUAGAUGUGGAGAUCUUUCCUGCUGCAGUAUCAGACUCUGCACUGUACUACUGCGCCAUGGCGCCCACAGGGACACAAAACUCAAACACACUGUACAAAAAGUGCAAAUUGAUUUUUUUUUCCCCUCAGUAG
Non-coding RNA from Neoarius graeffei (lesser salmon catfish), 408 nucleotides. Lineage: Eukaryota; Metazoa; Chordata; Actinopteri; Siluriformes; Ariidae. The record is from the annotation of a RefSeq genome assembly.